CCUACGGGCGGCAGCAGUGGGGAAUAUUGGACAAUGGGCGAAAGCCUGAUCCAGCCAUGCCGCGUGUGUGAAGAAGGCCUUCGGGUUGUAAAGCACUUUCAGUGGGGAAGAAAGCCUUGGGGCUAAUACCCUCGAGGAAGGACAUCACCCACAGAAGAAGCACCGGCUAACUCCGUGCCAGCAGCCGCGGUAAUACGGAGGGUGCGAGCGUUAAUCGGAAUUACUGGGCGUAAAGCGCGCGUAGGCGGUCUGAUAAGCCGGUUGUGAAAGCCCCGGGCUCAACCUGGGAACGGCAUCCGGAACUGUCAGGCUAGAGUGCAGGAGAGGAAGGUAGAAUUCCCGGUGUAGCGGUGAAAUGCGUAGAGAUCGGGAGGAAUACCAGUGGCGAAGACGGCCUUCUGGACUGACACUUACGCUGAGGUGCGAAAGCGUGGGUAGCAAACAGGAUUAGAUACCCCAGUAGUC
RNAcentral lists this ribosomal RNA (465 nucleotides) under Vreelandella stevensii. Its description in RNAcentral is "partial 16S ribosomal RNA". It matches the Rfam family "Bacterial small subunit ribosomal RNA", at positions 338 to 795 of the family's 1533-position model. Lineage: Bacteria; Pseudomonadati; Pseudomonadota; Gammaproteobacteria; Oceanospirillales; Halomonadaceae. The record is from RNAcentral.